UUGGUCGCCAACGAGUGGCGGACGGGUGAGUAACACGUAGGUAACCUGCCCAGAAGCGGGGGACAACAUUUGGAAACAGAUGCUAAUACCGCAUAACAGCGUUGUUCGCAUGAACAACGCUUAAAAGAUGGCUUCUCGCUAUCACUUCUGGAUGGACCUGCGGUGCAUUAGCUUGUUGGUGGGGUAACGGCCUACCAAGGCGAUGAUGCAUAGCCGAGUUGAGAGACUGAUCGGCCACAAUGGGACUGAGACACGGCCCAUACUCCUACGGGAGGCAGCAGUAGGGAAUCUUCCACAAUGGGCGCAAGCCUGAUGGAGCAACACCGCGUGAGUGAAGAAGGGUUUCGGCUCGUAAAGCUCUGUUGUUAAAGAAGAACACGUAUGAGAGUAACUGUUCAUACGUUGACGGUAUUUAACCAGAAAGUCACGGCUAACUACGUGCCAGCAGCCGCGGUAAUACGUAGGUGGCAAGCGUUAUCCGGAUUUAUUGGGCGUAAAGAGAGUGCAGGCGGUUUUCUAAGUCUGAUGUGAAAGCCUUCGGCUUAACCGGAGAAGUGCAUCGGAAACUGGAUAACUUGAGUGCAGAAGAGGGUAGUGGAACUCC
RNAcentral lists this ribosomal RNA (604 nucleotides) under Limosilactobacillus fermentum. RNAcentral describes it as "bacterial SSU rRNA". It matches the Rfam family "Bacterial small subunit ribosomal RNA", at positions 80 to 670 of the family's 1533-position model. The record is from RNAcentral. Lineage: Bacteria; Bacillati; Bacillota; Bacilli; Lactobacillales; Lactobacillaceae.